This 1097-nucleotide ribosomal RNA is filed under the name Discorbis rosea. Its description in RNAcentral is "SSU rRNA". The stretch from base 6 to 746 matches the Rfam family "Eukaryotic small subunit ribosomal RNA", at positions 41 to 470 of the family's 1831-position model. The record is from RNAcentral. Lineage: Eukaryota; Foraminifera; Rotaliida; Discorbidae.
CUCAAAGAUUAAGCCAUGCAAGUGGUUAUUUUAACCCGACAGUUUAAAUAAGUGUUUAUAUAUCAAAUUAUUAUUACUACACACGCAUGAAAUAUUAAUCUAUUCACUUACGCAACUGCAGACAGCUGCUUAAUACAGUCACACUUGUCUUGACUUGGCUACGAUAGAACACGCAUUGCUACUUUUUUAAACACACUUCGCAAGAUUGUGGGCAUGCUGUUCUUAUUAUCAUCAUAUGAUACCGUGUGAUUUCCUUACUGGGUGCGCAGCCCGUUCUAUCGGCGCUCGCAUUAAAUCCACCAUUUUAACACUCAACUUACGGAUAACUCAGGGAAAGUUUGGCUAAUACGUACGAGCAAUUUUAUUUACUCACAUUUUCACACAUUACUCAGCACUCAAUGGUAAACUAGUGAGUUUACGCAUCCUGUCUUCGGACGAUGCUGUAAUUUACUCACCUAUCGUUUAACUGCAACAUGAGAGACAUUGAGCACGCAGCCUGUUCUGGUCACUCAUGUGACUGGCUGGCACUUUACGCUGAGCAGACUUUGCGAUAUUUCUAUUGCGAAGCGUGUCAUACAAGCAUCUACAGCAUCAAGUCACAGGGUUGGCAAGUGUAUUAUUGAACCUUCAAAGCAGUCACGCAUACGGAAGAGUAGUUUCUGAUCCCAUAGAAGGAGCACCGUACAAUGAGAGACCGCUCUUAGUUCUAAGGAACGCAGCAGGCGCGUAAAUUGCCCAAUGCUAGUACCCUACAAUUAUUAUUAUUGCAAUUUACUUUACACUACAACAACAAUGCGUCGUAGAUAUUAGUUUUUAAUAAACACUCUAUUUUAAUAACUGACAUUUUAUUAUCCUUGUCGCGCGCACGCUAGUGUGAAUUUCAAUUAAUUUUAUUGAUUCACUGAGGCAGUGACAAGCUGUAACGGUUGAGUAUAAAAAUGACGAGUGUCUGGCAUUGCCGCUUCUUCGGGAGCUUGGCAAUUCUGCCGACGCUUUGUGUGCUCAAUUGGAAUGCGGUGAGUUUAAGCAACUCAGAACCUGGAUGGUGACUUUCUUUACGAAUUCACUAUUCGUGUAUCUGAAUUUUCAAGKGAGGG